UACGGGGGAUGCAAGCGUUAUCCGGAUUUAUUGGGUUUAAAGGGUGCGUAGGCUGUGAGGUAAGUCAGCGGUGAAAUGCCCCGCUCAACGGGGUGAAGUGCCAUUGAUACUGCCUUGCUGGAAUGCGGAUGCCGUGGGAGGAAUGUGUGGUGUAGCGGUGAAAUGCAUAGAUAUCACACAGAACACCGAUUGCGAAGGCAUCUCACGAAUCCGCUAUUGACGCUGAUGCACGAAAGCGUGGGUAUCAAACAGG
This 253-nucleotide ribosomal RNA is filed under the name uncultured bacterium. Its description in RNAcentral is "partial 16S ribosomal RNA". It matches the Rfam family "Bacterial small subunit ribosomal RNA", at positions 524 to 776 of the family's 1533-position model. The record is from RNAcentral.